CUGGAGUUGGAGUAUGGGCAAGU
RNAcentral lists this non-coding RNA (23 nucleotides) under Cricetulus griseus (Chinese hamster). Lineage: Eukaryota; Metazoa; Chordata; Mammalia; Rodentia; Cricetidae. The record is from RNAcentral.